AGGUACAGCUCAAUGGUAGAGCACUUGCCUUGCAUGCGGGAGGCCCUGGGUUCAAUCCCCAGCAUUUG
This 68-nucleotide transfer RNA is filed under the name Marmota monax (woodchuck). RNAcentral's name for it is "tRNA.Ala". The stretch from base 7 to 62 matches the Rfam family "tRNA", at positions 9 to 63 of the family's 71-position model. Rfam says of the family: Transfer RNA (tRNA) molecules are approximately 80 nucleotides in length. Their secondary structure includes four short double-helical elements and three loops (D, anti-codon, and T loops). Further hydrogen bonds mediate the characteristic L-shaped molecular structure. tRNAs have two regions of fundamental functional importance: the anti-codon, which is responsible for specific mRNA codon recognition, and the 3' end, to which the tRNAs corresponding amino acid is attached (by aminoacyl-tRNA synthetases). tRNAs cope with the degeneracy of the genetic code in two manners: having more than one tRNA (with a specific anti-codon) for a particular amino acid; and 'wobble' base-pairing, i.e. permitting non-standard base-pairing at the 3rd anti-codon position. Lineage: Eukaryota; Metazoa; Chordata; Mammalia; Rodentia; Sciuridae. The record is from RNAcentral.